Molecule: unclassified non-coding RNA, 240 nt
Filed under: soil metagenome
Description: partial contains 5.8S ribosomal RNA, internal transcribed spacer 2, and large subunit ribosomal RNA
Source: RNAcentral
AACGCACGAGACCUGCGGACCUGCGGAAGGAUCAUUAUAGAGUGGUAAACCCCCCGUAAAAGGGGGGGACCUCCUGUCCUUUGUAGGCUCUUUUUUAAAAGGGCUUUUUUUAAUUUUCUGCUUCGGUGGGGUUAUCCCACCGGAACAACCUCAAAACUCUUAUCAAAAAAUCGUUCUGUCUGAGAACCUUUUAUAAUAAAAAAAAACUUUUAGCAAUGGAUCUCUAGAUCGGAAGAGCAC